UGCAGUCGACGAUGAUCCGGUGCUUGCAUCGGGGAUUAGUGGCGAACGGGUGAGUAACACGUGAGUAACCUGCCCUUAACUCUGGGAUAAGCCUGGGAAACUGGGUCUAAUACCGGAUAUGACUCCUCAUCGCAUGGUGGGGGGUGGAAAGCUUUUGUGGUUUUGGAUGGACUCGCGGCCUAUCAGCUUGUUGGUGAGGUAAUGGCUCACCAAGGCGACGACGGGUAGCCGGCCUGAGAGGGUGACCGGCCACACUGGGACUGAGACACGGCCCAGACUCCUACGGGAGGCAGCAGUGGGGAAUAUUGCACAAUGGGCGCAAGCCUGAUGCAGCGACGCCGCGUGAGGGAUGACGGCCUUCGGGUUGUAAACCUCUUUCAGUAGGGAAGAAGCGAAAGUGACGGUACCUGCAGAAGAAGCGCCGGCUAACUACGUGCCAGCAGCCGCGGUAAUACGUAGGGCGCAAGCGUUAUCCGGAAUUAUUGGGCGUAAAGAGCUCGUAGGCGGUUUGUCGCGUCUGCCGUGAAAGUCCGGGGCUCAACUCCGGAUCUGCGGUGGGUACGGGCAGACUAGAGUGAUGUAGGGGAGACUGGAAUUCCUGGUGUAGCGGUGAAAUGCGCAGAUAUCAGGAGGAACACCGAUGGCGAAGGCAGGUCUCUGGGCAUUAACUGACGCUGAGGAGCGAAAGCAUGGGGAGCGAACAGGAUUAGAUACCCUGGUAGUCCAUGCCGUAAACGUUGGGCACUAGGUGUGGGGGACAUUCCACGUUUUCCGCGCCGUAGCUAACGCAUUAAGUGCCCCGCCUGGGGGAGUACGGGCCGCAAGGCUAAAACUCAAAAGGAAUUGACGGG
This 851-nucleotide ribosomal RNA is filed under the name Arthrobacter humicola. Its description in RNAcentral is "bacterial SSU rRNA". It matches the Rfam family "Bacterial small subunit ribosomal RNA", at positions 56 to 917 of the family's 1533-position model. Lineage: Bacteria; Bacillati; Actinomycetota; Actinomycetes; Micrococcales; Micrococcaceae. The record is from RNAcentral.